RNAcentral lists this ribosomal RNA (166 nucleotides) under uncultured bacterium. RNAcentral's name for it is "partial 16S ribosomal RNA". It matches the Rfam family "Bacterial small subunit ribosomal RNA", at positions 1334 to 1500 of the family's 1533-position model. The record is from RNAcentral.
GCUAGUAAUGGCAGGUCAGCAUACUGCCGUGAAUACGUUCCCGGGCCUUGUACACACCGCCCGUCACACCAUGAGAGUUGGGGAUACCCAAAGCCCGUGAGCCAACUUAUAAGAGGCAGCGGUCUAAGGUAGAAUCAAUGAUUGGGUGAAGUCGUAACAAGGUACC